GGGUUGUGAGGUUAAGCGACUAAGCGUACACGGUGGAUGCCUAGGCAGUCAGAGGCGAUGAAGGGCGUGCUAAUCUGCGAAAAGCGUCGGUAAGCUGAUAUGAAGCGUUAUAACCGACGAUACCCGAAUGGGGAAACCCAGUGCAAUACGUUGCACUAUCGUUAGAUGAAUACAUAGUCUAACGAGGCGAACCGGGGGAACUGAAACAUCUAAGUACCCCGAGGAAAAGAAAUCAACCGAGAUUCCCCCAGUAGCGGCGAGCGAACGGGGAGGAGCCCAGAGUCUGAAUCAGUUUGUGUGUUAGUGGAAGCGUCUGGAAAGUCGCACGGUACAGGGUGAUAGUCCCGUACACCAAAAUGCACAGGCUGUGAACUCGAUGAGUAGGGCGGGACACGUGACAUCCUGUCUGAAUAUGGGGGGACCAUCCUCCAAGGCUAAAUACUCCUGACUGACCGAUAGUGAACCAGUACCGUGAGGGAAAGGCGAAAAGAACCCCGGCGAGGGGAGUGAAAUAGAACCUGAAACCGUGUACGUACAAGCAGUGGGAGCACCUUCGUGGUGUGACUGCGUACCUUUUGUAUAAUGGGUCAGCGACUUAUAUUUUGUAGCAAGGUUAACCGAAUAGGGGAGCCGUAGGGAAACCGAGUCUUAACUGGGCGUCUAGUUGCAAGGUAUAGACCCGAAACCCGGUGAUCUAGCCAUGGGCAGGUUGAAGGUUGGGUAACACUAACUGGAGGACCGAACCGACUAAUGUUGAAAAAUUAGCGGAUGACUUGUGGCUGGGGGUGAAAGGCCAAUCAAACCGGGAGAUAGCUGGUUCUCCCCGAAAGCUAUUUAGGUAGCGCCUCGUGAACUCAUCUUCGGGGGUAGAGCACUGUUUCGGCUAGGGGGCCAUCCCGGCUUACCAAACCGAUGCAAACUCCGAAUACCGAAGAAUGUUAUCACGGGAGACACACGGCGGGUGCUAACGUCCGUCGUGAAGAGGGAAACAACCCAGACCGCCAGCUAAGGUCCCAAAGUCAUGGUUAAGUGGGAAACGAUGUGGGAAGGCACAGACAGCCAGGAUGUUGGCUUAGAAGCAGCCAUCAUUUAAAGAAAGCGUAAUAGCUCACUGGUCGAGUCGGCCUGCGCGGAAGAUGUAACGGGGCUAAACCAUGCACCGAAGCUGCGGCAGCGACACUUAGGUGUUGUUGGGUAGGGGAGCGUUCUGUAAGCCGUUGAAGGUGACCUGUGAGGGUUGCUGGAGGUAUCAGAAGUGCGAAUGCUGACAUAAGUAACGAUAAUGCGGGUGAAAAACCCGCACGCCGGAAGACCAAGGGUUCCUGUCCAACGUUAAUCGGGGCAGGGUGAGUCGACCCCUAAGGCGAGGCUGAAAAGCGUAGUCGAUGGGAAACAGGUUAAUAUUCCUGUACUUGGUGUUACUGCGAAGGGGGGACGGAGAAGGCUAGGCUGGCCGGGCGACGGUUGUCCCGGUUUAAGCGUGUAGGGGGAGUGACCAGGUAAAUCCGGUUGCUUAUCAACCCUGAGGCGUGAUGACGAUGCACCACGGUGCAGAAGCAGUUGAUGCCAUGCUUCCAGGAAAAGCCUCUAAGCAUCAGGUAACAUUAAAUCGUACCCCAAACCGACACAGGUGGUCAGGUAGAGAAUACUCAGGCGCUUGAGAGAACUCGGGUGAAGGAACUAGGCAAAAUGGUGCCGUAACUUCGGGAGAAGGCACGCUGGCGUUAGGUGAAAGGACUAGCUCCUGGAGCUGAAGCCAGUCGCAGAUACCAGCUGGCUGCAACUGUUUAAUAAAAACACAGCACUGUGCAAACACGAAAGUGGACGUAUACAGUGUGACGCCUGCCCGGUGCUGGAAGGUUAAUUGAUGGGGUCAGCCGCAAGGCGAAGCUCUUGAUCGAAGCCCCAGUAAACGGCGGCCGUAACUAUAACGGUCCUAAGGUAGCGAAAUUCCUUGUCGGGUAAGUUCCGACCUGCACGAAUGGCGUAAUGAUGGCCAGGCUGUCUCCACCCGAGACUCAGUGAAAUUGAACUCGCUGUGAAGAUGCAGUGUACCCGCGGCAAGACGGAAAGACCCCGUGAACCUUUACUAUAGCUUGACACUGAACAUUGAGCCUUGAUGUGUAGGAUAGGUGGGAGGCCUUGAAGUGUGGACGCCAGUCUGCAUGGAGCCAACCUUGAAAUACCACCCUUUAAUGUUUGAUGUUCUAACUCGGCCCCAUGAUCUGGGGUGAGGACAGUGUCUGGUGGGUAGUUUGACUGGGGCGGUCUCCUCCCAAAGAGUAACGGAGGAGCACGAAGGUUAGCUAAUCACGGUCGGACAUCGUGAGGUUAGUGCAAAGGCAUAAGCUAGCUUGACUGCGAGAGUGACGGCUCGAGCAGGUACGAAAGUAGGUCUUAGUGAUCCGGUGGUUCUGAAUGGAAGGGCCAUCGCUCAACGGAUAAAAGGUACUCCGGGGAUAACAGGCUGAUACCGCCCAAGAGUUCAUAUCGACGGCGGUGUUUGGCACCUCGAUGUCGGCUCAUCACAUCCUGGGGCUGAAGUAGGUCCCAAGGGUAUGGCUGUUCGCCAUUUAAAGUGGUACGCGAGCUGGGUUUAGAACGUCGUGAGACAGUUCGGUCCCUAUCUGCCGUGGGCGUUGGAAGAUUGAGAGGGGCUGCUCCUAGUACGAGAGGACCGGAGUGGACGAAUCACUGGUGUUCGGGUUGUCAUGCCAAUGGCAUUGCCCGGUAGCUAAAUUCGGAAGAGAUAACCGCUGAAAGCAUCUAAGCGGGAAACUUGCCUCGAGAUGAGUCUUCCCUGGGGCUUAAAGCCCCCUGAAGGAACGUUAAAGACUAUGACGUUGAUAGGCUGGGUGUGUAAGUGCAGCGAUGUAUUGAGCUAACCAGUACUAAUGAUCCGUGAGGCUUAACCUUACAACACCGAAGGUGUUU
RNAcentral lists this ribosomal RNA (2934 nucleotides) under Yersinia pestis. Its description in RNAcentral is "bacterial LSU rRNA". It matches the Rfam family "Bacterial large subunit ribosomal RNA". Lineage: Bacteria; Pseudomonadati; Pseudomonadota; Gammaproteobacteria; Enterobacterales; Yersiniaceae. The record is from RNAcentral. RNAcentral also lists the same sequence under 3 other names.